UACGAAGGGGGCUAGCGUUGCUCGGAAUCACUGGGCGUAAAGCGCACGUAGGCGGCUUUCUAAGUCAGGGGUGAAAUCCUGGAGCUCAACUCCAGAACUGCCUUUGAUACUGGAGAGCUUGAGUCCGGGAGAGGUGAGUGGAACUCCGAGUGUAGAGGUGAAAUUCGUAGAUAUUCGGAAGAACACCAGUGGCGAAGGCGGUUCUCUGGGCCUGUACUGACGCUGAGGAGCGAAAGCGUGGGGAGCGAACAGG
Molecule: ribosomal RNA, 253 nt
Filed under: uncultured bacterium
Lineage: Bacteria
Description: partial 16S ribosomal RNA
Rfam family: Bacterial small subunit ribosomal RNA
Source: RNAcentral